ACGAACGCUGGCGGCGUGCUUAACACAUGCAAGUCGAGCGGUAAGGCCCUUUCGGGGGUACACGAGCGGCGAACGGGUGAGUAACACGUGAGCAAUCUGCCCUUGACUUUGGAAUAACCAUUGGAAACGAUGGCUAAUGCCGAAUAUGACCCCCUUUCGCAUGUUGGGGGGUGGAAAGCUCCGGCGGUCAAGGAUGAGCUCGCGGCCUAUCAGCUUGUUGGUGAGGUAAUGGCUCACCAAGGCAUUGACGGGUAGCCG
Molecule: ribosomal RNA, 258 nt
Filed under: Aeromicrobium sp. ISO361_OTU981
Lineage: Bacteria; Bacillati; Actinomycetota; Actinomycetes; Propionibacteriales; Nocardioidaceae
Description: partial 16S ribosomal RNA
Rfam family: Bacterial small subunit ribosomal RNA
Source: RNAcentral